GCUGGGCGUGGUGGCGUGUGCCUGUAGUCCCAAUUAUUCAGGAGGCUGAGGUAGGAGGAUCACCUGAGCCUGGGAGGUUGAGGCUGCAGUGAGCCAUGAUCGCACCACUGCACUCUAGCCUGGGCAACAGAGUGAGACCCUGUUUCAA
Molecule: non-coding RNA, 148 nt
Filed under: Gorilla gorilla gorilla (western lowland gorilla)
Lineage: Eukaryota; Metazoa; Chordata; Mammalia; Primates; Hominidae
Source: Rfam by way of RNAcentral